GACGAACGCUGGCGGCGUGCUUAACACAUGCAAGUCGAACGGAAAGGCCCUGCUUUUGUGGGGUGCUCGAGUGGCGAACGGGUGAGUAACACGUGAGUAACCUGCCCUUGACUUUGGGAUAACUUCAGGAAACUGGGGCUAAUACCGGAUAGGAGCUCCUGCUGCAUGGUGGGGGUUGGAAAGUUUCGGCGGUUGGGGAUGGACUCGCGGCUUAUCAGCUUGUUGGUGGGGUAGUGGCUUACCAAGGCUUUGACGGGUAGCCGGCCUGAGAGGGUGACCGGCCACAUUGGGACUGAGAUACGGACCAGACUCCUACGGGAGGCAGCAGUGGGGAAUAUUGCACAAUGGGCGGAAGCCUGAUGCAGCAACGCCGCGUGCGGGAUGACGGCCUUCGGGUUGUAAACCGCUUUCGCCUGUGACGAAGCGUGAGUGACGGUAAUGGGUAAAGAAGCACCGGCUAACUAC
Molecule: ribosomal RNA, 465 nt
Filed under: uncultured bacterium
Lineage: Bacteria
Description: partial 16S ribosomal RNA
Rfam family: Bacterial small subunit ribosomal RNA
Source: RNAcentral